This 468-nucleotide ribosomal RNA is filed under the name uncultured bacterium. RNAcentral describes it as "partial 16S ribosomal RNA". It matches the Rfam family "Bacterial small subunit ribosomal RNA", at positions 28 to 507 of the family's 1533-position model. The record is from RNAcentral.
GACGAACGCUGGCGGCGUGCUUAACACAUGCAAGUCGAACGGAAAGGCCCUGCUUUUGUGGGGUGCUCGAGUGGCGAACGGGUGAGUAACACGUGAGUAACCUGCCCUUGACUUUGGGAUAACUUCAGGAAACUGGGGCUAAUACCGGAUAGGAGCUCCUGCUGCAUGGUGGGGGUUGGAAAGUUUCGGCGGUUGGGGAUGGACUCGCGGCUUAUCAGCUUGUUGGUGGGGUAGUGGCUUACCAAGGCUUUGACGGGUAGCCGGGCUGAGAGGGUGACCGGACACAUUGGGACGGAGAUACGGCACAGCCUCGUACGGGAGGCAGCAGUGGGGAAUAUUGCACAAUGGGCGGAAGCCUGACGCAGCCACGCCGCGUGCGGGAUGACGGCCUUCGGGUUGUAAACCGAUUUCGCCUGUGACGAGGCGUGAGUGACGGUAAUGGGUAAAGAAGCACCGGCUAACUCCGUG